Molecule: ribosomal RNA, 301 nt
Filed under: uncultured bacterium
Lineage: Bacteria
Description: partial 16S ribosomal RNA
Rfam family: Bacterial small subunit ribosomal RNA
Source: RNAcentral
CAGUCGCCGCGGUAAUACGAAGGGUGCAAGCGUUAAUCGGAAUUACUGGGCGUAAAGCGUGCGUAGGCGGUUUGUUAAGUCUGUUGUGAAAUCCCCGGGCUCAACCUGGGAAUGGCAAUGGAUACUGGCUCGCUAGAGUGUGUCAGAGGAUGGUGGAAUUCCCGGUGUAGCGGUGAAAUGCGUAGAGAUCGGGAGGAACAUCAGUGGCGAAGGCGGCCAUCUGGGACAACACUGACGCUGAGGCACGAAAGCGUGGGGAGCAAACAGGAUUAGAUACCCCCGUAGUCCCUGUCUCUUAUAA